RNAcentral lists this unclassified non-coding RNA (605 nucleotides) under Hevea brasiliensis (rubber tree). The record is from RNAcentral. Lineage: Eukaryota; Viridiplantae; Streptophyta; Magnoliopsida; Malpighiales; Euphorbiaceae.
AAAAGGAUACCUAGCUUUAAGGAAAGAAGAAAGACUUGCAGGAACGAUUUGACUGAUAUAAUAUGAAUCAUUGUACAAAAGGGUCCAAGCAUCCAAGGACAAAAGAGCUUGCAGGACGGUUUGACUGAUAUAAUAUGAUCCAUUAUACAACAGGGGCCGAGUAUCCAAGGCUUACUGCUGCGAAUGAGUAAAAUAAAAUGUACUCCACAUUGCAAGAUAAAUAGGAAGUCGUGCAGAUUUAAAAUGAAGAGCAGUAAAACAACUAAUAAUGGAAACUAUAACAGGUCAAUAGCACUAUGUUAUAUCCAUGUCACUCGUCAAACUCAUGCAAGUGAUCUAAUAGAUAGUUAGCAGCCAGCUCCUCAUUUUUGUUGCAGGCGAAGUAUACUUCCAAUACUAAAGCUCGAUCAAACCCCAUAGCUUCAAGACGUUCAAUAGCCUCCCGCUCUUCAGGUGUAACAGUCACAGCUUGUGGUAUUGCACCUGCUGUCUGCCCUAACACAUUCCCCUCUCCUUCAACAGGUUCAUUAAUGAGGCGCAGGAAGUCCGGUUGAUGUUCUUGAAUAAGCCGCAUCAAAUGUGGAUUUUGCUUACCCAACUCCUGG